This 488-nucleotide ribosomal RNA is filed under the name uncultured bacterium. RNAcentral's name for it is "bacterial SSU rRNA". It matches the Rfam family "Bacterial small subunit ribosomal RNA", at positions 903 to 1397 of the family's 1533-position model. The record is from RNAcentral.
AAAGGAAUAGACGGGGGCCCGCACAAGCAGUGGAGUAUGUGGUUUAAUUCGACGCAACGCGAAGAACCUUACCAGGUCUUGACAUCCGGUGCAUAGCAUGGAGACAUGUGAAAUCCUUCGGGACACCGAGACAGGUGGUGCAUGGUUGUCGUCAGCUCGUGUCGUGAGAUGUUGGGUUAAGUCCCGCAACGAGCGCAACCCUUAUCGUUAGUUACUACGCAAGAGGACUCUAGCGAGACUGCCGUUGACAAAACGGAGGAAGGUGGGGAUGACGUCAAAUCAGCAUGCCCUUUAUGACCUGGGCUACACACGUACUACAAUGGCCGUUAACAGAGGGAAGCGAAAGAGUGAUCUGGAGCAAAACCCAGAAAAACGGUCUCAGUUCGGAUCGCAGGCUGCAACCCGCCUGCGUGAAGCCGGAAUUGCUAGUAAUCGCGGAUCAGCAUGCCGCGGUGAAUACGUUCCCGGGCCUUGUACACACCGCCCGU